Molecule: ribosomal RNA, 368 nt
Filed under: uncultured organism
Description: bacterial SSU rRNA
Rfam family: Bacterial small subunit ribosomal RNA
Source: RNAcentral
CGAAGGAUCCAAGCGUUGUCCGGAUUUACUGGGUUUAAAGGGUGCGUAGGCGGACUUUUAAGUCAGUGGUGAAAGCCUGUAGCUUAACUAUAGAAUUGCCAUUGAAACUGAAAGUCUUGAGUGUGGUUGAGGUAACUGGAAUAUAUCAUGUAGCGGUGAAAUGCUUAGAUAUGAUAUAGAACACCAAUUGCGAAGGCAGGUUACUGAGCCACAACUGACGCUGAGGCACGAAAGCGUGGGGAUCAAACAAGAUUAGAUACCCUGGUAGUCCACGCCGUAAACGUUGAAUACUCGAUCUUAGCGAUACACAGUUAGGAUCCAAGCGAAAGCGUUAAGUAUUCCACCUGGGAAGUACGAUCGCAAGAUUG